CAGCUUGCUGCUUUGCUGACGAGUGGCGGACGGGUGAGUAAUGUCUGGGAAACUGCCUGAUGGAGGGGGAUAACUACUGGAAACGGUGGCUAAUACCGCAUAACGUCGCAAGACCAAAGAGGGGGACCUUCGGGCCUCUUGCCAUCAGAUGUGCCCAGAUGGGAUUAGCUUGUUGGUGAGGUAACGGCUCACCAAGGCGACGAUCCCUAGCUGGUCUGAGAGGAUGACCAGCCACACUGGAACUGAGACACGGUCCAGACUCCUACGGGAGGCAGCAGUGGGGAAUAUUGCACAAUGGGCGCAAGCCUGAUGCAGCCAUGCCGCGUGUAUGAAGAAGGCCUUCGGGUUGUAAAGUACUUUCAGCGGGGAGGAAGGUGUUGUGGUUAAUAACCGCAGCAAUUGACGUUACCCGCAGAAGAAGCACCGGCUAACUCCGUGCCAGCAGCCGCGGUAAUACGGAGGGUGCAAGCGUUAAUCGGAAUUACUGGGCGUAAAGCGCACGCAGGCGGUCUGUCAAGUCGGAUGUGAAAUCCCCGGGCUCAACCUGGGAACUGCAUUCGAAACUGGCAGGCUUGAGUCUUGUAGAGGGGGGUAGAAUUCCAGGUGUAGCGGUGAAAUGCGUAGAGAUCUGGAGGAAUACCGGUGGCGAAGGCGGCCCCCUGGACAAAGACUGACGCUCAGGUGCGAAAGCGUGGGGAGCAAACAGGAUUAGAUACCCUGGUAGUCCACGCCGUAAACGAUGUCUACUUGGAGGUUGUGCCCUUGAGGCGUGGCUUCCGGAGCUAACGCGUUAAGUAGACCGCCUGGGGAGUACGGCCGCAAGGUUAAAACUCAAAUGAAUUGACGGGGGCCCGCACAAGCGGUGGAGCAUGUGGUUUAAUUCGAUGCAACGCGAAGAACCUUACCUGGUCUUGACAUCCACAGAAGAAUCCAGAGAUGGAUUUGUGCCUUCGGGAACUGUGAGACAGGUGCUGCAUGGCUGUCGUCAGCUCGUGUUGUGAAAUGUUGGGUUAAGUCCCGCAACGAGCGCAACCCUUAUCCUUUGUUGCCAGCGGUUAGGCCGGGAACUCAAAGGAGACUGCCAGUGAUAAACUGGAGGAAGGUGGGGAUGACGUCAAGUCAUCAUGGCCCUUACGACCAGGGCUACACACGUGCUACAAUGGCGCAUACAAAGAGAAGCGACCUCGCGAGAGCAAGCGGACCUCAUAAAGUGCGUCGUAGUCCGGAUUGGAGUCUGCAACUCGACUCCAUGAAGUCGGAAUCGCUAGUAAUCGUGGAUCAGAAUGCCACGGUGAAUACGUUCCCGGGCCUUGUACACACCGCCCGUCACACCAUGGGAGUGGGUUGCAAAAGAAGUAGGUAGCUUAACCUUCGGGAGGGCGCUUACCACUUUGUGAUUCAUGACUGGGGUGAAGUCGUAACAAGGUAACCGUAGGGGAACCUGCGGUUGGAUCACCUCCUUACCUUAAAGAA
This 1473-nucleotide ribosomal RNA is filed under the name Salmonella enterica subsp. enterica serovar Enteritidis. Its description in RNAcentral is "bacterial SSU rRNA". It matches the Rfam family "Bacterial small subunit ribosomal RNA". Lineage: Bacteria; Pseudomonadati; Pseudomonadota; Gammaproteobacteria; Enterobacterales; Enterobacteriaceae. The record is from RNAcentral.